Molecule: long non-coding RNA, 448 nt
Filed under: Brassica rapa (field mustard)
Lineage: Eukaryota; Viridiplantae; Streptophyta; Magnoliopsida; Brassicales; Brassicaceae
Description: long non-coding RNA (BRAP_LNC007206)
Source: RNAcentral
UUUAGAUGGUCCUAGUAUGACUUGUUAACAGUAGAUAAAAAAUAGGACUCUGUUUUAAUAGAUUUGUACCUUUUUUUUUUUUGUGAAGCUAUGUUUUUUUCUUUUUGACAAAAUGCUUAUUUAUAUUUAAGAACUAAUAUGAUCCUCAUGGAGGUAGUUUGCAAUUGAAAUGGGAACAUAAACGUGAUAAGUGUAAGAAGAGAAUGCUUGAGAUGACGUAUUGGUCAGAGCAUCAGCAUCUUUGUUGUUUUGUCUUGUUGUCCAACAAAGAUACAUGAUUCAACUAUUGUUUUCCAACACUAUCUCUCUGAUCCAGUUGUGGAGUCUGAAAUUCUUCUUCCUGCAAGUACCCAAAUCAUAAAGUUGCUUACUGUAACCUUCAAAAAUAACAUACUUAUCACUUGUGUCCAUUCUCGUUCCAUUUCAAAUAGUAGCGCUUGUAGUUCCG